AGCGAUCUUACCUCAUUCAGUGGUGUUGCGAUGCUGGAAGCGCUCAUCACAACCUGCAUGAAUGAGGUAAGGUCAUG
This 77-nucleotide microRNA precursor is filed under the name Capitella teleta. Its description in RNAcentral is "microRNA cte-mir-67 precursor". Its record names the gene cte-mir-67. Lineage: Eukaryota; Metazoa; Annelida; Polychaeta; Capitellidae. The record is from miRBase by way of RNAcentral.